Molecule: ribosomal RNA, 429 nt
Filed under: Acidobacteriota bacterium
Lineage: Bacteria; Pseudomonadati; Acidobacteriota
Description: Acidobacteria bacterium partial 16S ribosomal RNA
Rfam family: Bacterial small subunit ribosomal RNA
Source: RNAcentral
UAGGGAAUCUUCGGCAAUGGACGAAAGUCUGACCGAGCAACGCCGCGUGAGUGAAGAAGGUUUUCGGAUCGUAAAACUCUGUUGUUAGAGAAGAACAAGGACGUUAGUAACUGAACGUCCCCUGACGGUAUCUAACCAGAAAGCCACGGCUAACUACGUGCCAGCAGCCGCGGUAAUACGUAGGUGGCAAGCGUUGUCCGGAUUUAUUGGGCGUAAAGCGAGCGCAGGCGGUUUCUUAAGUCUGAUGUGAAAGCCCCCGGCUCAACCGGGGAGGGUCAUUGGAAACUGGGAGACUUGAGUGCAGGAGAGGAGAGUGGAAUUGCAUGUGUAGCGGUGAAAUGCGUAGAUAUAUGGAGGAACACCAGUGGCGAAGGCGGCUCUCUGGUCUGUAACUGACGCUGAGGCGCGAAAGCGUGGGGAGCAAACAGG